This 392-nucleotide ribosomal RNA is filed under the name uncultured bacterium. RNAcentral's name for it is "bacterial SSU rRNA". It matches the Rfam family "Bacterial small subunit ribosomal RNA", at positions 30 to 421 of the family's 1533-position model. The record is from RNAcentral.
AUUGAACGCUGGCGGCAUGCCUUACACAUGCAAGUCGAACGGCAGCACGGGAGCUUGCUCCUGGUGGCGAGUGGCGAACGGGUGAGUAAUACAUCGGAACGUACCCUGAAGUGGGGGAUAACGUAGCGAAAGUUACGCUAAUACCGCAUAUUCUGUGAGCAGGAAAGAGGGGGAUCGCAAGACCUCUUGCUUUAGGAGCGGCCGAUGUCGGAUUAGCUAGUUGGUGAGGUAAAGGCUCACCAAGGCGACGAUCCGUAGCGGGUCUGAGAGGAUGAUCCGCCACACUGGGACUGAGACACGGCCCAGACUCCUACGGGAGGCAGCAGUGGGGAAUUUGGACAAUGGGCGCAAGCCUGAUCCAGCCAUGCCGCGUGAGUGAAGAAGGCCUCGGG